GCGCGGGCAGAGGCGGCGCGAGGGCGGUGCGGAGGGGCUGCGCCGUGCUGCGCGCCCAGCGACACUCGCCGCUUCCCGCGGGGCUGGAGAUGCUGGCGCGCGCGGCGGCGGCGGCGGCGGCGGCGGCGGGGGGGGCGCGGGUCGCCCCGGCCGCGGAGACCUUCGCCGACGACGUGCUGCGCGUGUUCGGGGCCAACCACAGCCUGUCGGCCGGGCAGCUCGCCGGGCUGCUGCACCGGCUGGGCGCCGCGCCGGCCCUGGGCGCGGUGCUGCCGCUGGCCCACCUGCACCACAACCAGUGCUUGACCGGUGAGGAAAUUUUUUCUUUGCAUGGGAUACCCAACAACAGUCACAUAUCAAAUUCAAGCUUCUCUACAAUAUGUCCUGCUGUUUUGCAACAGCUAAUUUUUCACCCGUGUGAUCAUCGGGAGAACUUUGUGGAUACGUCUAAACCACAUUCUUUACAAGUUUGGGGAUUUGGGUUCCUGGCUGUGACUAUCAUUAACUUGGCAUCACUUCUGGGACUGAUUUUAACUCCUCUCUUAAGGAAGUCGUAUUUCCCCAAGGUUUUAACCUACUUUGUGGGCUUGGCCAUUGGUACUCUCUUUUCUAAUGCAAUUUUCCAGCUCAUUCCAGAGGCAUUUGGGUUUGACCCAAAAGUAGACAACUAUAUUGAGAAAGCAGUUGCUGUGUUUGGUGGAUUCUAUAUUCUCUUCUUUGUGGAAAGGAUUCUUAAAGUGAUAUUGAAGAUCUAUAACCAGACUGGCCAUAUUGACUCUGAAAAUGGCGAGCAGAAUUGUUCUCUGGAUAAGACUAACCCACCCAAACCACUAUCAUCCAGCAAUGGAGGGACGUGUUAUGCAAAUUCAGCUGUCAUAGAGAGCAAUGGAAAUCUUGGUUUUGACAGCAUCAGUGUGGUCUCAGCACAGGAAGAAGCCACCCAAGGCAGCUUAUGCAAGUGUCUUAAUGGGCGCCCACUGGCAAAGAUUGGGACCAUUGCUUGGAUGGUAACACUGAGUGAUGCCGUACACAAUUUCAUAGAUGGUUUGGCUAUUGGUGCUUCUUUCACUUUGUCUCUGCUUCAAGGGCUUAGUACCUCCAUAGCCAUCUUGUGUGAAGAGUUUCCUCAUGAACUGGGGGAUUUUGUCAUCUUGCUUAAUGCAGGAAUGAGUACUCGGCAGGCUCUGUUUUUCAACUUUAUGUCUGCAUGUUCCUGUUACGUUGGGAUGGCUUUUGGUAUAUUAGUAGGCAACAACUUUGCUCCUAACAUCAUCUUUGCUGUAGCCGGUGGAAUGUUCCUGUACAUCUCUCUGGCAGAUAUGUCUCUUUCUCUCUCUCUCUAGGUUUUUGGAUUGUAUCAGUUACCUAUCUGAAUUUUUCUUCCCCCUGAAAAGUCUGAAAUAGGGUAUUCAACUGCUCUGUACAGAGAUCUGGCUUUCUGCUUUCUGUUAUGAUUUUCACACACUUCUGGUUUGCUUGUCCAGAAGCAGUUCCCAGAGAUGAAUGAUAUGCUGCGAGAGAAAGUGACAGGAAGAAAGAUGGAUCUCACAUUCUUCCUUAUUCAGAAUGCUGGUUUACUAACAGGGUUUACUGCUAUACUGUUGAUUACCUUGUAUGCAGGAAAUAUUCAGCUGUGAUAAUGCAAGUGAAAAUGCAAUCAGUACUGAAGACAUCAAGUAAAUUACAAAUGGAAGACACUUGAAAUCCAUGAAGGGACAUUCAUUUAAUCUACUUGGUUUUGAAACGGUGACAAGUCCCGUCCUGUCCCCCAUGCUCCAAAUAUAGGAAAUUCUUCUUUAGGACUUGCAGUCAAUCCAAAUAGUAGGAGCUGUCAGCUUCUGUACUAUGCCAAAGAACCGAUAUUAGUAUUUUUAUUUCUACUUAAAAUUAUGAGACAUACCUGAACUGUCAGAGAAAGGAUGUUACUUGGCCAGUAGAAUUAUGCAAUACAUGCAACUACAUGCAACUCAAGACCAAAUGAAAGCUGAGGUCUUCAAGGAAGAUGCUUAUUUAAAAAAAAAAAUACUGGAGUCUCAUAUCCUUUUUUAACUGUGAUGAAGGCAAGCAGUUUCAAAACUGGUUAAUUUUCAUGAUUUUUGUUUCAGGAUUUGUCUGUGUAACACCCCCCUCCCCCACCAAAAAAAAAAAAAAAUCAAAUUAUUUCAGAGUAGGUACUAAUGAAGCUAAGAUUUUUAAUUACUAAUUAACACUGGAAGGAAAGAUACCAGUUACUGCUUUUGAUCUUUUUUUCUUUAUAAGUGCACUAGGGAAUUGUUGAUUUAUUUUGAGAACCACUUUUUUUAAUUAGAGGGAACCUGUGUUAAAUUUGUGACAAUUUGUCAACUCCAUAAUAUUUUAGAAGCAUUGAGUAUUUUAAAAAUGUUCAAGCAUUUUGUACUUUAUGAAAAUAAAAAUGUUUUAUAUUUAAGUUCCACAAAUAUCCCUUUUAAAAAUCAGUAUUUUGGGUUAAAAUUUUUAAAGAUUUAUUUUUAGUUUUACAAAGUGGAAUUUAGAAAAAACUUGCUAAAGUCAACAUUCCAGUAAGCUUUUUUGUAAUUUGAAUAAUUUUCUUGUGUGCAGUUGGGUGAAAGUAAGGGAUACUAAAAUAUACAAACUCUUAUCACAGUCUGUUGCAUGUGAACUUUCUAAAAUCAUGCUUAUAUGUAUGAGUUCUUCUGAAAUAAACAAUUCAGCUACUCUGGUGUUGUAAGAUGUGUGCAAGGAAAUUAAUAAAAAAUAUAUUCCAUUUCAGUCA
Molecule: RNA transcript, 2755 nt
Organism: Aquila chrysaetos chrysaetos
Lineage: Eukaryota; Metazoa; Chordata; Aves; Accipitriformes; Accipitridae
Gene: SLC39A8
Gene name: solute carrier family 39 member 8
Exons: 9
Source: RefSeq, a predicted model, not a curated record